Non-coding RNA from Manis javanica (Malayan pangolin), 471 nucleotides. Lineage: Eukaryota; Metazoa; Chordata; Mammalia; Pholidota; Manidae. The record is from RefSeq and is a predicted model, not a curated record.
GACCCCGGAGAGCCGCCGGGAAGUCGGCGCCCCGGCCCGGGCUCCGCGCGCACAACCGCUAGCUGCGCCUUUUGACAAGACUAUUUAUCUGUACCCCUCGGAACAAACCACCACGGGCAAAGAAGAGGGAGUUGGAACGAGAGCUAAGCGGCAGCAAUAGAUAGUAAAGAACUUCAAAUCACCAGGCUGUCUACUGAUAUUCUGAGCUACCCAGCUGGCUGAAGAAAUUGCCCAUCUUUUGAUCUAGAAAAAUGAACAGUCUAGAUCAGCACCGGCCAAUUCAGAAGCCACUAGCCUCACGAGGCUCUUGAGCGCUAUGUGGAUAGUCAUCACAGUGUUGUAAAAUACAUCAUAUUUUGAAGACACUAUGAAUAAAAUAGUGUGAACUCUCCCAGUAAUAGUUUAAAAAAUUAUGUGUCAAACUGAUAUUUUGAAUAUAUUGUAUUAAAGGAAAUACAUUAUUAAAAUUAA